UCCUACGGGGGGCAGCAGUGAGGAAUAUUGGUCAAUGGACGAGAGUCUGAACCAGCCAAGUAGCGUGAAGGAUGACUGCCCUAUGGGUUGUAAACUUCUUUUAUAUGGGAAUAAAACAGGGUAUGCAUACCCUCUUGUAUGUACCAUAUGAAUAAGGAUCGGCUAACUCCGUGCCAGCAGCCGCGGUAAUACGGAGGAUGCGAGCGUUAUCCGGAUUUAUUGGGUUUAAAGGGUGCGUAGGCGGGCUUUUAAGUCAGCGGUAAAAAUUCGGGGCUCAACCCCGUCCGGCCGUUGAAACUGGGGGC
This 305-nucleotide ribosomal RNA is filed under the name uncultured bacterium. RNAcentral's name for it is "bacterial SSU rRNA". It matches the Rfam family "Bacterial small subunit ribosomal RNA", at positions 337 to 640 of the family's 1533-position model. The record is from RNAcentral.